UACGGGGGGGGCAAGCGUUGUUCGGAAUUACUGGGCGUAAAGGGCUCGUAGGCGGCCAACUAAGUCGGACGUGAAAUCCCUCGGCUUAACCGGGGAACUGCGUCCGAUACUGGAUGGCUUGAGAUUGGGAGAGGGAUGCGGAAUUCCAGGUGUAGCGGUGAAAUGCGUAGAUAUCAGGAAGAACACCGAUGGCGAAAGCAGCUCUCUGGGACGGUACUGACGCUGAGACGCGAAAGCGUGGGGAGCGAACAGG
This 253-nucleotide ribosomal RNA is filed under the name uncultured bacterium. Its description in RNAcentral is "partial 16S ribosomal RNA". It matches the Rfam family "Bacterial small subunit ribosomal RNA", at positions 524 to 776 of the family's 1533-position model. The record is from RNAcentral.